UCAGUUUGCAAGCUCUUUAUGCAAGGCCUGGAUAAGAAGGGACGCCCCAUCGUGGUUUGCUUUGGUGGCAGGCAUAAGCAGAACAAUCUAGAGGAGUUCAAGCGUUUUGUGGUCUACAGCUUAGACAAAAUAUG
Molecule: long non-coding RNA, 134 nt
Organism: Quercus robur (English oak)
Lineage: Eukaryota; Viridiplantae; Streptophyta; Magnoliopsida; Fagales; Fagaceae
Exons: 2
Source: RefSeq, a predicted model, not a curated record